RNAcentral lists this ribosomal RNA (433 nucleotides) under uncultured bacterium. Its description in RNAcentral is "partial 16S ribosomal RNA". It matches the Rfam family "Bacterial small subunit ribosomal RNA", at positions 29 to 507 of the family's 1533-position model. The record is from RNAcentral.
AACGAACGCUGGCGGCAGGCCUAACACAUGCAAGUCGAGCGAGGACUUCGGUCCUAGCGGCGGACGGGUGAGUAACGCGUGGGAACGUGCCCUUUGCUUCGGAAUAGCCCUGGGAAACUGGGAGUAAUACCGGAUGAGCCCUUUGGGGGAAAGAUUUAUCGGCGAAGGAUCGGCCCGCGUUGGAUUAGGUAGUUGGUGGGGUAAUGGCCUACCAAGCCGACGAUCCAUAGCUGGUUUGAGAGGAUGAUCAGCCACACUGGGACUGAGACACGGCCCAGACUCCUACGGGAGGCAGCAGUGGGGAAUAUUAGACAAUGGGGGAAAGCCUGAUCUAGCCAUGCCGCGUGAGCGAUGAAGGCCUUAGGGUUGUAAAGCUCUUUCAGCUGGGAAGAUAAUGACGGUACCAGCAGAAGAAGCCCCGGCUAACUCCGUG